This 374-nucleotide ribosomal RNA is filed under the name uncultured bacterium. RNAcentral's name for it is "bacterial SSU rRNA". It matches the Rfam family "Bacterial small subunit ribosomal RNA", at positions 525 to 896 of the family's 1533-position model. The record is from RNAcentral.
ACGUAGGGAGCAAGCGUUGUUCGGAUUUACUGGGCGUAAAGGGCGCGUAGGCGGCGCGACAAGUCACUUGUGAAAUCUCCGGGCUUAACUCGGAACGGCCAAGUGAAACUGUCAUGCUAGAGUGCAGAAGGGGCAAUCGGAAUUCUUGGUGUAGCGGUGAAAUGCGUAGAUAUCAAGAGGAACACCUGAGGUGAAGACGGGUUGCUGGGCUGACACUGACGCUGAGGCGCGAAAGCCAGGGGAGCAAACGGGAUUAGAUACCCCGGUAGUCCUGGCCCUAAACGAUGAAUACUUGGUGUCUGGAAUUAUUAUUGUUCCGGGUGCCGUCGCUAACGUUUUAAGUAUUCCGCCUGGGGAGUACGCACGCAAGUGUG